This 543-nucleotide ribosomal RNA is filed under the name Candidatus Glomeribacter gigasporarum. RNAcentral describes it as "bacterial LSU rRNA". It matches the Rfam family "Bacterial large subunit ribosomal RNA", at positions 943 to 1492 of the family's 2925-position model. The record is from RNAcentral. Lineage: Bacteria; Pseudomonadati; Pseudomonadota; Betaproteobacteria; Burkholderiales; Burkholderiaceae.
ACCAUAGCAAACUCCGAAUACCGAAGCGUGUGAGCACGGGAGACAGACAUUGGGUGCUAACGUCCGGUGUCAAGAGGGCAACAACCCAGACCGCCAGCUAAGGUCCCUAAAAUAAGCUCAGUGGGAAACGAAGUGGGAAGGCGAAGACAGUCAGGAGGUUGGCUUAGAAGCAGCCACCCUUUAAAGAAAGCGUAAUAGCUCACUGAUCGAGUCGUCCUGCGCGGAAGAUGUAACGGGGCUAAGCUUAUUACCGAAGCUGCGGAUGCGAGCGAAGCUCGCAUGGUAGGAGAGCGUUCCGUAAGCUGAUGAAGGCACAUUGUAAAGUGUGCUGGAGGUAUCGGAAGUGCGAAUGCUGACAUAAGUAGCGAUAAAGAGGGUGAAAAGCCCUCUCGCCGUAAGCCCAAGGUUUCCUACGCAACGUUCAUCGGCGUAGGGUGAGUCGGUUCCUAAGGCGAGGCAGAGAUGCGUAGCUGAUGGCAAGCAGGUUAAUAUUCCUGCACCAUUGUGAGAUGCGAUGGGGGGACGGAUCGCGGAAGGUUGUCC